GAGGGUACAGCUCAAAUGGUAGAGCGCAUGCUUAGCAUGCGUGAGGUCCUGGGUUCAAUCCCCAGUACCUCCU
This 73-nucleotide transfer RNA is filed under the name Camelus bactrianus (Bactrian camel). It matches the Rfam family "tRNA". Rfam says of the family: Transfer RNA (tRNA) molecules are approximately 80 nucleotides in length. Their secondary structure includes four short double-helical elements and three loops (D, anti-codon, and T loops). The record is from Rfam by way of RNAcentral. Lineage: Eukaryota; Metazoa; Chordata; Mammalia; Artiodactyla; Camelidae. RNAcentral also lists the same sequence under 2 other names.